This 202-nucleotide unclassified non-coding RNA is filed under the name Hevea brasiliensis (rubber tree). Lineage: Eukaryota; Viridiplantae; Streptophyta; Magnoliopsida; Malpighiales; Euphorbiaceae. The record is from RNAcentral.
AGAACACUCCACUAACACAACUAAGAAUCAAUCGCAGUAUUGCAUACUCAAGAGUGCUAAAUUACUUUGGAACUGAUGCAUGUGUGUUCACAUCCAUUUUGCUACUCUUGGCCAAACGAUUGCUAAUCUUCUGAUCCCUUAGUUACACCAAGAAUAAUUGCAACGGUGGCAAGAACAGCAGCAAUUGUGCAAGCAAUGUAUC